Molecule: long non-coding RNA, 952 nt
Filed under: Olea europaea subsp. europaea
Lineage: Eukaryota; Viridiplantae; Streptophyta; Magnoliopsida; Lamiales; Oleaceae
Source: RNAcentral
GUUGGUUGAACCAAAUAGUUGAUUACAAACGUCAAACACCUCAUGCCACACCCCCAAUGCCACCACCAACACCAAUACUUGGUCACAAAUCAACCAAACUUCAACCUAUCCCACACCAACCGAACACUAUGUCACCUCGCCACCAACACCUACUGCCAAUAGCACAACUUCCAUUUUUUGACCUUCACCAUCAUUAGCACCACACCACCACAACUACAACCACUGUCGCCAUCUUCGCAUUGAAACCACCAGCUUACCACCAACACCUCAAAAACCACCACUCAAAUUGCCACACACAGCUACGAAUUGAGCUGUGUUGCCAUCAACCCUCACAGAGUUGAUGGCGUCAACGUCGGUUAAGAAGAAAAAAUGCCCGACUGAGCCUAUACAUGUGACCUAAAAGGAAUACCACAACUAGCAACGCAGCUAAUUCUAGGUCUCGGAACAACAUUAGCACUAGUAGCUUUACCACAUGACUCAUUCAACAACGAUGGACCCUCAAUGGUAAGUGAAAUCACCUCCUCAUCGUGGAGGAGUACAAAGCCAGCACGUUAAGCUUGAUUCAAGACAUUGCAACAGCUUGGAAACUGAAGACCUCUUUUCAACAGAAACAACUUCCAAUUACAGGAGAAAAAGGAUACUCGAGGAAGUUGUUGUUGAAGCCUCUAAUGCAGAAAUUCCUUAUUUCCAGUAUUUGAUUGAGUCAAUAAGUUAGUUCUAAAAAUCAAGUCUUUGCUGUUAAUAAUGGGUCCUUAUUUUUCUUUUGUAGCUUGGUUUUUGCUUGUUUAUUGGAAUUCUAUUUACUAGCUGUGUAAUUAAAGUUUUCCCUGUUUUAAAUAAAUACCUACGAAGUUUUUGCUCGUAUGCCUCUCUUUUGUGCUUUGUGUUUUACUUGUCUCUAUUUACCAUUUCUUCCUAACGAUUGCAAGAGAAGUUUUAGUGGUGUUCUAUU